UAGAGUUUGAUCCUGGCUCAGGAUGAACGCUAGCUACAGGCUUAACACAUGCAAGUCGAGGGGCAGCAUGUCGGUUGCUUGCAACCGAUGAUGGCGACCGGCGCACGGGUGAGUAACGCGUAUCCAACCUACCCUUGUCCAUCGGAUAACCCGUCGAAAGGCGGCCUAACACGAUAUGCGGUUCACAGCAGGCAUCUAACGUGAACGAAAUGUGAAGGAGAAGGAUGGGGAUGCGUCUGAUUAGCUUGUUGGCGGGGUAACGGCCCACCAAGGCAACGAUCAGUAGGGGUUCUGAGAGGAAGGUCCCCCACAUUGGAACUGAGACACGGUCCAAACUCCUACGGGAGGCAGCAGUGAGGAAUAUUGGUCAAUGGGCGAGAGCCUGAACCAGCCAAGUAGCGUGCAGGAUGACGGCCCUAUGGGUUGUAAACUGCUUUUAUAAGGGAAUAAAGUGAGUCUCGUGAGACUUUUUGCAUGUACCUUAUGAAUAAGGACCGGCUAAUUCCGUGCCAGCAGCCGCGGUAAUACGGAAGGUCCGGGCGUUAUCCGGAUUUAUUGGGUUUAAAGGGAGCGUAGGCCGGAGAUUAAGCGUGUUGUGAAAUGUAGACGCUCAACGUCUGCACUGCAGCGCGAACUGGUUUCCUUGAGUACGCACAAAGUGGGCGGAAUUCGUGGUGUAGCGGUGAAAUGCUUAGAUAUCACGAAGAACUCCGAUUGCGAAGGCAGCUCACUGGAGCGCAACUGACGCUGAAGCUCGAAAGUGCGGGUAUCGAACAGGAUUAGAUACCCUGGUAGUCCGCACGGUAAACGAUGGAUGCCCGCUGUUGGUCUGAAUAGGUCAGCGGCCAAGCGAAAGCAUUAAGCAUCCCACCUGGGGAGUACGCCGGCAACGGUGAAA
Molecule: ribosomal RNA, 898 nt
Filed under: uncultured bacterium
Lineage: Bacteria
Description: bacterial SSU rRNA
Rfam family: Bacterial small subunit ribosomal RNA
Source: RNAcentral